AUGAGAUCCAUGGGCAGCUCGGACUCAUCUUCAGGCUCGGCACCACCGCGGCAUCAGCCGCCGCCUCCGCAGCAGGGCUCGGCCCCGGAGCUCCCGCCGGGCUUCCGGUUCCACCCGACGGACGAGGAGCUGGUCGUGCACUACCUCAAGAAGAAGGCCGCCAAGGUGCCGCUCCCCGUCACCAUCAUCACCGAGGUGGAUCUCUACAAGUUCGACCCAUGGGAGCUGCCCGAGAAGGCGACCUUCGGUGAGCAGGAGUGGUACUUCUUCAGCCCGCGCGACCGCAAGUACCCCAACGGCGCGCGGCCCAACAGGGCGGCUACGUCGGGGUACUGGAAGGCCACCGGCACGGACAAACCUAUCCUGGCCUCCGGGUGCGGCCGGGAGAAGGUCGGCGUCAAGAAGGCGCUCGUGUUCUACCGCGGGAAGCCGCCCAAGGGCCUCAAAACCAACUGGAUCAUGCACGAGUACCGCCUCACCGACGCGUCUAGCUCCGCCACCACCAGCCGACCGCCGCCUGUCACCGGCGGGAGCAGGUCUGCCUCUCUCAGGUGUACGUCGUCGUCUCAUCAGUUGGACGACUGGGUGCUGUGCCGCAUAUACAAGAAGAUCAACAAGGCCGCCGCCGGGGAUCAGCAGAGGAGCAUGGAGUGCGAGGACUCCGUGGAGGACGCCGUCACCGCAUACCCGCUUUAUGCCACGGCGGGCAUGACCGGUGCAGGGGCGCAUGGCAGCAACUACGAUUCACUGCUCCAUCACCAGGACAGCCACGAGGACAACUUCCUGGACGGCCUGCUCACAGCAGAGGACGCCGGCCUCUCGGCGGGCCCCACCUCGCUGAGCCACCUAGCCGCGGCGGCGAGGGCGAGCCCGGCUCCGACCAAACAGUUUCUGGCCCCGUCGUCUUCAACCCCGUUCAACUGGCUCGAUGCGUCAACCGUUGGCAUCCUCCCACAGGCAAGGAAUUUCCCUGGGUUUAACAGGAGCAGAAAUGUCGGCAACAUGUCGCUGUCGUCGACGGCCGACAUGGCGGUGGACAACGGCGGGGGCAAUGCGAUAAACACCAUGCCUCCAUUCAUGAAUCAUCUUCCCAUGCAAGACGGGACCUACCAUCAACAGCAUGUCAUCCUCGGCGCCCCGCUCGCGCCAGAAGCCACUGCCGCCGCCACCUCUGCCUUCCAGCACCCCGUCCAAAUAUCCGGCGUGAACUGGAAUCCCUGA
Molecule: ribosomal RNA, 1221 nt
Filed under: Triticum aestivum (bread wheat)
Lineage: Eukaryota; Viridiplantae; Streptophyta; Magnoliopsida; Poales; Poaceae
Description: partial small subunit ribosomal RNA
Source: RNAcentral